RNAcentral lists this long non-coding RNA (3277 nucleotides) under Podarcis lilfordi (Lilford's wall lizard). The record is from RNAcentral. Lineage: Eukaryota; Metazoa; Chordata; Lepidosauria; Squamata; Lacertidae.
CUCAUUUUAUUUUUUUAUUGCACAGUGAAAAACAAGGAAGCAACAUUUACAAUUAAAUGAUGCAUACUGCAGAUCUGGAAUUCUAACAUUAGCUACAGGAAGCAUUUAAGAAAUCCAUCUGCUUAGAACACCUCAAAAAGUGACUUUUUGAGAAUUCCCUUCUUUUAUACUGUAAUCCAAUCAAGUUCAAAUGAACUUCCCUUACAUAGAGUCAGAGCAUUGGUCCAGUUCAGUUCAGUUUUCUGGCAGUAAAUUUCUUAAGGAGAGGUCAUUCACAUCACUUUUUCCUGUGACCUUUGUAGCUGGAGAUUCCAGUGACUGAACCCAGGAAGUUCAGCAUGCAGUGCAUACAUGUUGAGCCAUGCUCCUCUCUCUUCCUGUUCAACCACUGCUACAAAUUUUCAAGCCUUUCUACCUGAAUAAAUAUGCAGCAAAUUGUUUUUCUUCUCAAAGUCUGGUUCUAAUAAAACUAAAAUACCAUAUAAAUGGCUUGUUUAAGCAAUCAUCCUCAACUGACUUCACUACAAGGUAAUUGCAUUAAAACAAACUUAUCUUUAUUUCAGCAGGCCUACUCCAGAGUUAAAGUGGUUUAUAAAGCAGAUGUAAACUCUGGGUUCUAUGGGAUAACCUACAAAUUGUGCACUUGGGAGACCAGUUUCAGCUGGGAAGGCAAUGAUGGAAGGAACUUUGUGAUACUUCUAAAUCCUAGGCUCUCAGACUAUUGUGGGGAGGGCAAUGUCCCCAGAGGGGGAAGGUUCCAAGACAGGUAACCCCUCCUCCCAUACUUGCCAAGGUUUGGCACUGCUAUUGCUGCUGCCCAUAAAGAAGAAACAUGAUAACUCUUGAUAAACAGACCAUAGAUGGGCAUGAUAAUCCUGCAGCAUCCUGUUUCUUUGGCAGCUGAAGCUUAGUGUUCCAACCACUGCCAGCUCCAUUUCCUAUAAAACCUUUCCUAUAUGGAAAAUAUUUUCUGUCUCAGACAUACUUCCAGAUGCUGUAUCUUUGCUCCCAGCACCCAGUGGGCAGCAGAUAACUUUCUCCAAUUCUGUUUGGAUAGAAAAUGCUAGAGUUCAAGGAGAUGAGCUAUAUGGCGCACCCACAUCCACCAUAAAACUUCCCAUAAAAACACAUGUAAGGAGGGAAGAGAAGAACAGUAAGAGAUUAUGAUUUAUGUGCUGCUUUUUGAGGACUGGGUGAGUUGAACACCCCCAGAGGACCCCAGAUUUGGAUGGGGUGCAGCUUCACUGACACAUUGUCUUAGCCUAAUAUAGGGGAAAUGAAAUUCAAGAGGAACUGCUUCCAACAUGUCUGUAUAGUUUUAGAACAGGAUUGAAAAGGCCCUGCUAUAUUCCACUUCUAAUGCCAGUAAUAAAUUAGUGGCCCAAUACAGUCUUGCAUUUAGAAGCAGGCUGCAUACACACAAUUUGCUGGAUCGUCUUAGCAUGUUCACACAAGAGUGGACUAGUGUUGGGUUAUAGUGCAGAAGGUAUAAAAAAAAUUAGGGCACGAGUUUGGGGAUAUUACCCAAAGUAACCUCUACUACCAACUUUUUGUAUAAUCUGUAAAAAUGUAUCAUCCAUCCAGCACCUUUCAGGGCCUUGUAUCCAAAUGAUUUUAAAUAAAUUAACAGCAAAAGGCAAGCAGUAAAAAAAAGGUAUCAAAAUUUGAGUAUUACUAAAAAUGUGUACUGUAUUCUACAAAGAAGCUGGAUGAGAGAACCAGUUUUAUUGCUUACCUCACUGGUAUAUUUUGAAGUUUAAGGCAGCCUUAUUUAUUUGUUAGCAAUAAAAUGGGCACAAUAUUUAUCUCUCAUUUUUUAAAAAGAUAUUUUGUAGUUUGUAAGCCAUUUGCAACUACUGUAUAUGUUUCAGUGAGUGUCUUUUACACAGCUGUGGCAAAGCUCAAUUUUGACAUGGCUGCUGGAUUAAUCUAAAUCCUUCAAUUAACUGUUCAGGAGAAAAACAUACUUGUGUGUUUAAAUCUCUUCGAGACAAUAGCUCCCUUUUAUUCCUCUCCAGAAACCGCUCUGUAAGGUUUCUUAACAGUCAAUAUAUUCCAAUAUUCUUCACAGUGUAGCGAAGUCAGGGAAGAGCAGAAGGUGCCUAUUUAAAACUGCUAAAGUCAUCAGUAUUUCUGUGGCUUCCUAAGGGAAUAUAUAUGAUAUAGAGUUAAGGGAUACAUUUCCUGCUUUAAAAGCUUUCAGUGUUAGUGAUCCUCUCAGUUUAUUUCACUCUGAAGUGACUUUCAAAUCAUAAUUAGAAAAAAGAAAAAGUUAUCAGCAGACUCAAUUCUUCAAUCCCUUUGAAUUCAAUGUGGGUUGAUUCAUUUGUAACAGUUUCUACCCCCCCCCCCCUUAUUUCCCCCCAAGCAUACUUACUUGUAACAUUCAUGGAAUUUGCCCCUCUCUUCUAAUCAAUGUGCUAGCUUAUUAUGCAAAGUCAAUGUGAUUUACAGACCUACUUUAUUAGCUGCUGCAUCAGCACACAAGAGCAUAGAAUUAGACACUAGUGUUCACUGCUGGGGGCAACACAGAGUGUCUACAACUGAGCAGUGAUAAAGAAGAAAGUCUCCUGAGCCACCAAGGGCCCCAGGCAUCAUCUCUGAUGCACCAUUUUGCAAAUAAUUAUGUAACAUUGGGAGGAAGAGGUUGGUCCCAUUAUCUGGGAUCCAAUAGGUCUUUUUGAUCCUGUAAUCAAGAAACAGAUAAUGCACCACUGAUUAGUCGUAGGUUUGGUAAGAAUGGUCUAGCCAGGGCUUUCAAAUAGGCUUGUCUCACUUACCAAGGGUAAGACACAGUGGUAAUAAGGACGGUACAAGUACUGCUUGAGUUACUGUAACUACAUGGCCACAUUUUACUGAAAUCAAGUAUGCAAAGCAUUGUGAACACUCAAAAUGUGCUUAAGUAUUAUUACUGGUGUUUGCUUGGUGUUUUGGUUGGUUUUUUUGCAAUAAUUGAUUCUAAUCUAAUUGUACUCAUUACUGAAUUGAUUCCCACUCCCCCGAAUAUACCUUCUAAUGAUUACACCAUUCCUAUCUUGCCCAAGUUAAAAGCUAAGAAAUAACAAACAUCUUAUUGAUGGCAAAUCCUAUCCAUCUCAUUGUACCAUGAUAUGACUUCCAAAUAAGAGUGGCAGUCUUUACACACUAAUAAACUAGGAGAUCUAUAUGCUGGUCAUAUUUGUAUGCAGUUAUUAUAUUUUGUAAUUUUAUCAGUUUGACAAUCAUACUAAAGGUGAUUUCCCUUUAAUUGAAUUUUGAGUCACUGAAAAUGUACAUA